Molecule: ribosomal RNA, 213 nt
Filed under: uncultured bacterium
Lineage: Bacteria
Description: partial 16S ribosomal RNA
Rfam family: Bacterial small subunit ribosomal RNA
Source: RNAcentral
UACGUAGGGUGCGAGCGUUGUCCGGAUUUAUUGGCGUAAAGAGCUCGUAGGCGGUUUGGUAAGUCUGGUGUGAAAUCUACCACCGCUCAACGUGGGAGGGGCCACCCGAUACUGCCAUGACUGGAGUCCGGUAGAGGGAGUGUGGAAUUCCCGGUGUAGCGGUAGAAAUGCGACAGAAUAUCGGGAGGAACACCCGUAGCCGAAGGCGGCACU